CAUAGAGUCCCUUUAAUGUAAUCCUCUUAAAAAACAAAAACAAAAAAAACAUAUUUUAUUUUCCUCUCAUGUCCUUUAAAAAAAAAAAAAUUAAAUAAAUCAUUCUAUACACUUUCUAUCAACUGUUCACAGUUGAAGUCUAAUGCAUGUUUCAUAAAUUCUCUCACAGUGCUACCUGCUGGUCAAACCGCAGGCGUACAGCAGCACAGAAGACUUGCAUUUUUCCUCUUGUCCAGUUUAUUUCACUUUGUUUGACACGGAGAGUAGAAAAUACGGUUAUGCACAUUCAGACAAACAGCUACAAAUUUCACAGAAUCAUGCACCUGCCAAAAUCCAACAUGCUGAACAGACCAGAGUGAGCCCCGAAACAGUUACAUGGCAGUUUACAACCUGAACAGCUGAUUGAGUGAGGAUUACAAAAUAAACAGUUAUAGCUACAUUAUCUUUAGUAUGAUCGACUUACUGUCAAGCUGGAGGAUUACAGGAAGGUUAUAGUUAGCAAAAAUGGUGAAGAAAAUGACAGAACACAGAGUUUUGUGCAUGCGUGGUGGUCUGUACAGAUGAUAACGUCAGCUAGCUAUUACACACAGUAGCAGGAACAUAGCUCAGGCUCAGUGUCAGAGAAAACAAACAAACAAUGUUAUAAAUCCUGGAAGCUCCACGGAGUAUUGCAUAUCUACAUUUAAGGAACAGUUUGACAUUUUGGGCAAUGCAUUUUCUUAGUUAACUGAUGACAGAUGAGAAGAUCAAUCUCUUAACAAUGUAGCUGGAGCCUGCAAAUAAUUAGCUUAGCUGUCAAGUAUAAAGGGUGUCUAUUAUGCUAAUUUGCAGCUCACUAGUACACUAGAGUGUUGCAAGAUUUAUGAUUUUUAGAAUCCUUAAUUAUCUCAUAGUGUUGGUUACGCACUCCCUGGAGGUCACGUCACCUCUCAUCCCCCUGCACGCUGAAAAGUGAAGGUAAUGCGGGGCCAGUGUAUUAUAAUGUGAAGCCAACAGCUCUGAUCCAAGCAACACUAUGUGACAAAACAGCUCAUCAAUGUCAAAUGAAAUAUUACAUACUAUAUUUUAACGUGAUUCAAAUGCAACAGGUUUUAUCAGUGACCUGUGUAAAGGUGCAAGAUUUGGGUGGAUUUUUUCUAAUGCUAAUCUUUUAAUUGUAACCUGUAAGGACGUUUCUGUUAUCUUAUUCAUUUGUUUACUUCAUAUUAGUUAAUAUGUCCAUCUGCAGGCCACCUCAGCGCUAACCAUAGACCGGACAACAUCACCCAUAUGUGUCUGAAUUCCUACUUUGAGCAUUUCUGUCAUCACCGUCUUGGUCUUUUGAAACUGGAGGUUAGGAGAGAGGAUUGGAUGUCAAUGUGAACGCAAACACUCAGUGGUUAACAACUUGUGAUUAACAAGUUAUUAGUCAAUGAGUAGAUCCUAAUAAUCCUUCCGAGACUUAAAAUGACCAUAAUUUACAAAACUGACUGAGUGUUUUAUCUGGUAUGAUCUGAUAUGAGGGGCUGAGCCCAUAAAGACAGCAGGAAAGUUUUUAGAGGCCAUGUCUGGGGGUCAUUUUCCCUUAGACUUCAAUAGAACUAGAAAUCGUCUUGGAACAGGGGUAUCCCAUAACCUCGUGUCGGUGUUGUUCCUGCAUCAUCUAGGAUCAACAUUGCAACUGACCAGUCAUGUUCUUGUGAUGUCAUAGCUUUACAACAUCAAGAAAAAAAACAACUUUUGGAUCAAAUGGUAAAAUUUUCAAGUGCUUUCCUUAUUAUUUAAUACCAUAUAAUAAAUGUAUUAUCAAGUUAGGUUUGCUGUUGCCAAAUGACUCGUGCUGGUUUACUAGUGACAGUUUUUAAUAGCAUUCACUAGCUUCUUGGCUAGUGCUAACUGAAUGCUCAGUUGCUAUGUUAAUCCUGGACCAACAAUAUUAUUAUCAUGUAUGAACAACACAACACAGAGACAUAGGAUUGAGAUCUUGCAACCACAUCUAUCGCCCCCUGGUGGCUAUUAAGACAAACUCUAGCUACAUGCAUUAUAUAGCACAUAGACAUUUUAUCAUUUCAUUAGCAAGAAAGUAAAGAAAUGCAUUUACAAAAAUGUCAAACCAUUCCUCAAAGGUCGUGAUAAUGAAAUUGUUAGAAAAGAGUUUAAAAAAAAAAAAGUAUAAACAUUUUUUUAAACAUGUACAUCAUCAAUCUUUAAUCACUGAGCGACUGACAUUUAAACUGAGUGAAAGUGCAAUAUUAAGUAAUAUUGGUGUCAACAGACCACAAGGCUACUGCUCCAUUGCAUCCUGCCACUUUCUACAGUACAGAACAGUGAACACACUCUUCAGCAUAUAAACAAGAAGUCAAACCGCAGCAUUGUCCUCUCAGGUUUACUUCAGCCCAAUCCAUUUUCCUCUGCAGUAUUAUCAACUUAGCGUUAGCAUAAAGCCAUUAACUGGCAGUACAAUCUAUUAGCACCACUACUUCUACAGACAUGCUACUCCCACUGUGAGCCAUUACUUCAGCACAUGUCAGUGGUCUUACAAAUUGCUUCAACUACUACAAAACUCACAAAGGAGCCUCGUCUAUUUUCUUCCUUUAUUUCAGUCCCCCAACCUAUAGUGUUUAGUAACUAAGACUGAAAAUAAAAUUAGCUUUACAAGAGCUACAAAUUGGCCUCUCUGCUUACCCCCGAUUCUGAAAAGCACCCUGCAAUCAAUCUGUUAUUCUAGUGCACAGCAGAGUCACGCUGGGUGUUCACAUUACAGCACUUCUCCAGUUGAAUUUGGAAGACUGUGCCCUGCUUGAAGGCAUAUCAGCAGUGACGGUACUACCCUCCAGCCACCAGCCCACUUUGGACAAACAGGUUCAUCAUGGUGGGAGCCUCACUCCAUCCUGCAAAUCUCCGUCUGCGGGCUGGAGUGUGCUGCAGGUUAGCUGUUCCUCUGCUCCGCCUCCCUCUGAGUCGAAGAGGAGGAGCUCUGGCUGUCCUCGGUGUCGUCUCCAUC
Oreochromis aureus is the source of this 2983-nucleotide long non-coding RNA. The record is from Ensembl. NCBI's taxonomy places the organism in Eukaryota, Metazoa, Chordata, Actinopteri, Cichliformes, Cichlidae.